CAUUACCGAGUGAGGGCCCUCUGGGUCCAACCUCCCACCCGUGUUUAUUUUACCUUGUUGCUUCGGCGGGCCCGCCUUAACUGGCCGCCGGGGGGCUUACGCCCCCGGGCCCGCGCCCGCCGAAGACACCCUCGAACUCUGUCUGAAGAUUGUAGUCUGAGUGAAAAUAUAAAUUAUUUAAAACUUUCAACAACGGAUCUCUUGGUUCCGGCAUCGAUGAAGAACGCAGCGAAAUGCGAUACGUAAUGUGAAUUGCAAAUUCAGUGAAUCAUCGAGUCUUUGAACGCACAUUGCGCCCCCUGGUAUUCCGGGGGGCAUGCCUGUCCGAGCGUCAUUUCUGCCCUCAAGCACGGCUUGUGUGUUGGGCCCCGUCCUCCGAUCCCGGGGGACGGGCCCGAAAGGCAGCGGCGGCACCGCGUCCGGUCCUCGAGCGUAUGGGGCUUUGUCACCCGCUCUGUAGGCCCGGCCGGCGCUUGCCGAUCAACCCAAAUUUUUAUCCAGGUUGACCUCGGAUCAGGUAGGGAUACCCGCUGAACUUAAGCAUAUC
RNAcentral lists this ribosomal RNA (547 nucleotides) under Engyodontium sp. MAB07A-XC-M. RNAcentral's name for it is "eukaryotic LSU rRNA". The stretch from base 182 to 334 matches the Rfam family "5.8S ribosomal RNA". The record is from RNAcentral. Lineage: Eukaryota; Fungi; Ascomycota.